Molecule: non-coding RNA, 46 nt
Organism: Anopheles stephensi (Asian malaria mosquito)
Lineage: Eukaryota; Metazoa; Arthropoda; Insecta; Diptera; Culicidae
Source: Rfam
AAACCGGUCCUUUUCAGGACUACAAACUUUGUUAGCAAAAAAGAAG